This 325-nucleotide ribosomal RNA is filed under the name uncultured Glomus. RNAcentral describes it as "SSU rRNA". It matches the Rfam family "Eukaryotic small subunit ribosomal RNA", at positions 569 to 905 of the family's 1831-position model. The record is from RNAcentral. Lineage: Eukaryota; Fungi; Glomeromycota; Glomeromycetes; Glomerales; Glomeraceae.
AGCAGCCGCGGUAAUUCCAGCUCCAAUAGCGUAUAUUAAAGUUGUUGCAGUUAAAAAGCUCGUAGUUGAAUUUCGGGAUUAAUAUGCUGGUCGUGCCAUUGGUACGUACUAGUAUUAUUGAUUUCUCCCUUCUGAUAAAUCAUGAUGUCAUUAAUUUGAUGUCAUGAGGAAUCAGGACUGUUACUUUGAAAAAUUGAGUGUUUAAAGCAGGCUCGCGCUUGAAUACAUUAGCAUGGAAUAAUGAAAUAGGACGUUUGAUUCUAUUUGUGUUUCUAGGAUUGACGUAAUGAUUAAUAGGAUAGUUGGGGCAUUAGUAUUCAAUUGU